RNAcentral lists this transfer RNA (72 nucleotides) under Reclinomonas americana. RNAcentral's name for it is "tRNA-Lys". It matches the Rfam family "tRNA". Rfam says of the family: Transfer RNA (tRNA) molecules are approximately 80 nucleotides in length. Their secondary structure includes four short double-helical elements and three loops (D, anti-codon, and T loops). The record is from RNAcentral. Lineage: Eukaryota; Jakobea; Jakobida; Histionidae.
GGAUACGUAGCUCAGCGGUAGAGCAACGGACUUUUAAUCCGGUGGUCUUGGGUUCAAAUCCCAACGUGUCUA